RNAcentral lists this ribosomal RNA (253 nucleotides) under uncultured bacterium. RNAcentral's name for it is "partial 16S ribosomal RNA". It matches the Rfam family "Bacterial small subunit ribosomal RNA", at positions 524 to 776 of the family's 1533-position model. The record is from RNAcentral.
GACGUAGGGCGCGAGCGUUGUCCGGAUUUAUUGGGCGUAAAGAGCUCGUAGGUGGUUUGUCGCGUUGUUCGUGAAAACCGGGGGCUUAACCCUCGGCGUGCGGGCGAUACGGGCAGACUUGAGUACUGCAGGGGAGACUGGAAUUCCUGGUGUAGCGGUGGAAUGCGCAGAUAUCAGGAGGAACACCCGUGGCGAAAGCGGCUCUCUGGAACGGAACUGACGCUGAGGCGCGAAAGCGUGGGGAGCGAACAGG